This is a long non-coding RNA of Brassica napus (rape), 2344 nucleotides long. RefSeq lists it as uncharacterized. The transcript is spliced from 2 exons. The record is from RefSeq and is a predicted model, not a curated record. Lineage: Eukaryota; Viridiplantae; Streptophyta; Magnoliopsida; Brassicales; Brassicaceae.
UUUUGUGUAGUAGUCAAUGGAAAAAAUCUGCAACUAAAUUUGUUUUGACUAACUUUAUUUCCGAAAAUCUGUAUAAUAUUAUAUGAUAAGUCAGUAUCUUAUGUGUCACUUUCGUAUUGAUUCUUAUAGAUAAUUACAAUGAUAAUUUGAGUUAGUUAUAUUUUAAUAACUUUUUUGUUUAUAUUUAUUUCUAAAUUAUCUUAUUAUCAAAAAGGCAAUAUAUAUAAUAUAAUAUAGUAAUUUUUAUUUAAAAGGGUAAUUCUACUCGAUACCAUUUUUCAAUUUUCAUCCCAAAAUAGUAUCUCAAACUAAAUAUCAGAAAUAUAAUUUUUAUUAAUAGGUCAAAAGACAAUAAUACCCUUCAACAUAUUAAUAGCAAUAAAAAAACAAACGAAAAAGCUAUAAUCUUCGUUUUUCUACCUCUGACUUUUGCCGCCGCCGUCUCUUCUCGACAUGGCCGGAGACAAAAUCGAACGCUAAAGCAACGAGCUGGGCCGUCUUAUGAGGGAUGGCGGUUAAUGCGACCGUCCUGGGGCCUGCUUCAAAUCAUGUUAUGUUAAGGGCCUUCAUUCUUUUUUUAGCAUGUUUUGUUUAGAUUUGGAUAGUAUAAAAAAAUAAUAUUACAGAAUUUUUUUAACUAGAAAAUCAAAUACAAAUUCUUAAAUGAUGCUAUGCCUGAGUUGAAAAGUCAAAGAAACAUAAUAUUUUUAAAACCGACUGGUUAGGGGACCCAAAAAAAAUUUCUGCCUUGGGGCCUCUGGUUAUGUUAAGCUGGCCCCGGCUAGGAGCACCUAUCAUAGGUUUCUUUUUCCGUUUUAUGAAUCUGAUAUCUUCAGAACUUCUCUCACUUGUAUUUGAUUUCGAUUUCUUCAUACUUCAAAUAAUAGGAAGGAAGAAGAAGACACGAUGACGAAGGACCCAAAAAAAAAAAACUAAGAGACCUCAAGUGCUUUCUUCGUCUUCAUGUAAACCUCACAAUCUCUUCAAUUUCAUAUUAUCCUCACAGUUUUCUUUUCAGUUUCAACUGCAUAAUCUUCGUCACAAAGAUAAUUUUCAACAGGAGUUUAACAAGGCAAACCCUAACAACAAGUCACCGUUGGUAAGGCUGCUGGAGCUAAAUGGAAAUCUAUGACUGGGAAAGUGAGUAUUGUACCGUUAAAAAGGGUUCCAUCUUUGUGGAACGUGCUAAAAAAACUACAGAUUUUUUUUGUUGUUUGAAUGUGUAACAUAGGAGAAAGCGCCUUAUGCUUCCAAGGCAGAGUGCAAAAAGAAUAAAUAUGUUAUGAGUAUGCAACAUGAAAUUGGUAAUAAAAACCCAUCUUUGACAUUCUAGAGGGAGAGAGAUUGUGUGUAUUAUCGUCUUACUGUAAACCUAAGAAACCGUCAAAAUGAAUAUUAUAAAGUACUAGAGGUUGACCGGCGCGUAGCGCCGGAUUUUCUAUUAUUGUUAUUAUUUUAAAUUAUUUAAUAGAAUAAUUUGUGUUAUUAAUUAUAUUUGUUUUUGAUUCUUUUGUUCUUUUGUGAUAUUGUUUUAUUAUAUUGGUAGCAUAUAUGAUGUUUUUAACUUUUAUAUUUUGGAAAUUGUUCAAUAAUUAAAUAAUUUAGUUUAGAAAGUAUAGUAGCCAAAUUGGUCAGUUAUUAUAUAAGAUCAUUUGAUAAAUUCACACAAUUACUUCGCAUAUAUCCAGUCAUGUUCCUUGUCUAAAGACCGAUAAAAUAUAAGCUGCAAUCUAACUUGGAGUAAAAUAAACACAAUAAAAAUAAAAAGAGAUGAAUGGUAUUUAUUUUUUGGUUUUCAAAAUUUGUGGUCACCUGGACUUGUUUUAGUGCAACUUUGAUUGUUGGAAAAUUUGUAACAAAUAUUACAUGCCCGACAGUGGUCAUUGUCUUAAAGAUUGAGGUUUUGAAUUUUCCUAUUGGCUACCUUACAGAAAAGAAAAGGAAUCACGACAAAUCAAGCAUCAUAUUACAAUUAUGCAAGUAAAUUUCAUUCUCAACAAAAUCAAGUAAUCAACACAAUCAAAUAAUUUAAUCACAGCAUACUCGUCGCACCAAAAAAGUGAAAGAGGAGCUAGUAUUUCACAUGAAUAUCUCGCAUGAAGACUAAACAACCAACACACGUUUUGUGUUAAUUGUUUCUCCUCUAUUGGAAUAAUCAUUAAAAACAGAAACGAGUGAGUAUUGUGCGGGCUCUUGCAUAUCAAAAGGGGUUCAACGAAGCAUUUCUCCUUGGUGUCUUGUCUUGUCUGCAGCAGGUUCAUAAGAAACUGCAUUUGUUCCUUCUUCUCCAUGGUCUCUAAGACGCUCCGACUUGAAUCUAGAACCAAAGAUCAAAACCAUGAAA